RNAcentral lists this ribosomal RNA (500 nucleotides) under uncultured bacterium. Its description in RNAcentral is "partial 16S ribosomal RNA". It matches the Rfam family "Bacterial small subunit ribosomal RNA", at positions 30 to 523 of the family's 1533-position model. The record is from RNAcentral.
AUUGAACGCUAGCGGCAGGCCUAACACAUGCAAGUCGAGCGGAUGACGGGAGCUUGCUCCUUGAUUCAGCGGCGGACGGGUGAGUAAUGCCUAGGAAUCUGCCUGGUAGUGGGGGACAACGUUUCGAAAGGAACGCUAAUACCGCAUACGUCCUACGGGAGAAAGCAGGGGACCUUCGGGCCUUGCGCUAUCAGAUGAGCCUUGGUCGGAUGAGGUAGUUGGUGGGGUAAUGGCUCACCAAGGCGACGAUCCGUAACUGGUCUGAGAGGAUGAUCAGUCACACUGGAACUGAGACACGGUCCAGACUCCUACGGGAGGCAGCAGUGGGGAAUAUUGGACAAUGGGCGAAAGCCUGAUCCAGCCAUGCCGCGUGUGUGAAGAAGGUCUUCGGAUUGUAAAGCACUUUAAGUUGGGAGGAAGGGCAGUAAGCUAAUACCUUGCUGUUUUGACGUUACCGACAGAAUAAGCACCGGCUAACUCUGUGCCAGCCGCCGCCGUAA